AUGCGGGACCUUGCCGCUUCCUUUUUUGAGCGACUAUUCACGUCGGAUGGCUCGCAAGGGGCCAAUGAUCUCCUGGAUAAUAUUGCUACGAUGGUGGAUGCGGGGAUGAACGAGAGGCUAACUGCAGCGAUUACGAAUGAUGAAAGUCAGAUGGCCCUUUUCCAGAUGGGGCCAACUAAGGCUCCGGACCCCGACGGCCUUCCGGCCCUUUUCUAUCAGCGCCACUGGGCUCUGGUUAAAGAUGACGUGUGUCGGGCGGUCAAGGAGUUCCUGGCGGGGGCAGCCACGCCGGAGUCCUUUAAUGACACCGUUAUUUUUAUGAUUCCUAAGAUUAGCUCACCGGAGCUUCUCUCCCAGUUUAGGCCCAUAAGCCUUUGUAACGUGUUAUGCAAGAUUGCUACCAAGGUCUUGGCGAAUAGGCUCGAGAAUAUUCUGCUGCUACUUAUCUCAGAAGAACAAAGUACUUUUGUGCCGGACCGGCUUAUUACUGAUAAUGUCCUUGUGGCCUAUGAAUGUGUGCAUGCGAUUCGUACUAGGAAGCGGAAGAAACCUCUCUGUGCGGUCAAGCUAGAUAUGAUGAAGGCGUACGACAGGGUUGAGUGGAAUUUUUUGGAGAAAAUGCUGCACAAAGUUGGCUUUGCUGAUCAGUGGGUUCAGAUGAUCAUGAGGUGUGUAAAAUCUGCCAAAUUUUGUGUCAAACUCAAUGGAGGCCUUUCUAGGGUUUUCCUUCCCUCUCGGGGCCUUCGGCAGGGUGACCCUCUCUCUCCCUACUUGUUCCUAUUUUGUGUGGAGGGUUUUUCUGCUAUGCUUCGGAGAGCUCAAGGAGAGGGGAUGAUCAAGGUUGUUCCUCUUGGGAGCACUGGCCCCCAUGUUACACAUCUGCUCUUCGCCGAUGAUAGCAUUGUUUUUCUGGAGGGGUCGAGGGAGAACAUGCACACUUUGAGAGAUCCUGCUGAAAUAUGA
Molecule: ribosomal RNA, 963 nt
Filed under: Triticum aestivum (bread wheat)
Lineage: Eukaryota; Viridiplantae; Streptophyta; Magnoliopsida; Poales; Poaceae
Description: partial small subunit ribosomal RNA
Source: RNAcentral